CAGCAGCCGCGGUAAUACGUAGGUGGCAAGCGUUGUCCGGAUUUAUUGGGCGUAAAGCGAGCGCAGGCGGUUCCUUAAGUCUGAUGUGAAAGCCCCCGGCUCAACCGGGGAGGGUCAUUGGAAACUGGGGAACUUGAGUGCAGGAGAGAAAAGUGGAAUUCCUAGUGUAGCGGUGAAAUGCGUAGAGAUUAGGAGGAACACCAGUGGCGAAGGCGGCUUUUUGGCCUGUAACUGACACUGAGGCGCGAAAGCGUGGGGAGCAAACAGGAUUAGAUACCCCAGUAGUCCCUGUCUCUUAUAC
This 301-nucleotide ribosomal RNA is filed under the name uncultured bacterium. RNAcentral describes it as "partial 16S ribosomal RNA". It matches the Rfam family "Bacterial small subunit ribosomal RNA", at positions 509 to 807 of the family's 1533-position model. The record is from RNAcentral.